AAAGGGGAUGCCUGUCGCCGAUUUGGUGCCUGGUGCAUAAAUGCUGUCUGUUGCAAAAAGGAUGCCUGUUGCAAAAAGGAUGCCUGUUGCAAAAAGGAUGCCUGUGUUGCCUUGAUCUGGAAAAUCGUUUCCCUGGUUCUUCCUGCAGUCGUAUGGUUGCUUCUGAUGUUCUUAGAUGGCCAGUACUUUACAUGUGCUAAGACGUAUUGGGAGGGAAGAUUUGUACUGGUGGAGAAAGCACCCCCGCUGAAGUGGUGUGAGCCAGCUAAUGAGAGCAAAGCCACCCAACAAGAACUAAUGCUGCGCUCACAGAAGCUCCGUUUUAACUCACAGGUCAUAGGCAUUUUUAUCCUUGUUGUUCUCUGUGUGGUUCUGGUAGCAUAUCUAAUCUGUAAAUGCUGCCAACUGGAGCCGCAACCGGAGCCGCAAACAGAGCCGCAACCAGAGCCAUAUGGUUCCAAGGCAGGUGGGUCUGAUGAACCUCAGGAACUGCAACCCUUAAAGGACAGUGAGAGCACACCCACCACAACCCCCUCUCCAACCUCCCUAAACACAAUUUUAAAGCACUCUUCCUUCUCUGUAUGGGUAAAUGAGUUAAACUGAGUUAACUGGCAGCUUAGUAGUGUAAAGAAGGCAGACAUGUACACAGCUCCAUAUCUUCAAGAGACUGCUGUUUAAUUUCAUCAUAUAUACAUAUAUGGUAUAUGGUUCCAUGUUUAUUUUUAUGUUCUUGUGAAACGUAAAUGUGAUGACAGUUGUUUUUGCUUCAGCUCUUGUAAUGAAAUAUGCUUGCAAAAAUAAAAACGCUCCAACAAA
Cynoglossus semilaevis (tongue sole) is the source of this 816-nucleotide long non-coding RNA. RefSeq lists it as uncharacterized. NCBI's taxonomy places the organism in Eukaryota, Metazoa, Chordata, Actinopteri, Pleuronectiformes, Cynoglossidae. The transcript is spliced from 2 exons. The record is from RefSeq and is a predicted model, not a curated record.